Molecule: long non-coding RNA, 365 nt
Organism: Thalassophryne amazonica
Lineage: Eukaryota; Metazoa; Chordata; Actinopteri; Batrachoidiformes; Batrachoididae
Exons: 3
Source: RefSeq, a predicted model, not a curated record
GAAGAAAACAGAACAGAGGAAAAAGUGGUGAAAGAGAACUUAACAUUGAAUGUGCUGCUCUCUUAGCAAGGGCUUUCAGCAACCAAGGUGGCCUGGGCAUUGCCCAUAAAGGAUCCUAAUAUUCAAGGGAAAUUCCAUUUGAACUAUACUGAAGUAACUGCACAACAUCCCCCUAUAAGACUGGAGGUACAAUGCAAGAAGCAGGCAAUAAUGUGAAGGCAGAAUUCAACCACUGGACUGAAAAGCACCACCACCACCAGAAUUUGAGAAUAACCAAAAGCAUGUACCUUUGGCAUGAAUCUCUGCAACUUGACAGAUGUGAGUACCAGGCCUGACACAGAAGACGUACAUGUCAGUACCAUCGU